GUGGCGACCGGCGCACGGGUGAGUAACGCGUAUGCAACUUGCCUAUCAGAGGGGGAUAACCCGGCGAAAGUCGGACUAAUACCGCAUGAAGCAGGGGCCCCGCAUGGGGAUAUUUGCUAAAGAUUCAUCGCUGAUAGAUAGGCAUGCGUUCCAUUAGGCAGUUGGCGGGGUAACGGCCCACCAAACCGACGAUGGAUAGGGGUUCUGAGAGGAAGGUCCCCCACAUUGGUACUGAGACACGGACCAAACUCCUACGGGAGGCAGCAGUGAGGAAUAUUGGUCAAUGGGCGUAAGCCUGAACCAGCCAAGUCGCGUGAGGGAUGAAGGUUUUAUGGAUCGUAAACCUCUUUUAUAAGGGAAUAAAGUGUGGGACGUGUCCUAUUUUGUAUGUACCUUAUGAAUAAGGAUCGGCUAACUCCGUGCCAGCAGCCGCGGUAAUACGGAGGAUCCGAGCGUUAUCCGGAUUUAUUGGGUUUAAAGGGUGCGUAGGCGGCCUUUUAAGUCAGCGGUGAAAGUCUGUGGCUCAACCAUAGAAUUGCCGUUGAAACUGGGAGGCUUGAGUAUGUUUGAGGGAGGCGGAAUGCGUGGUGUAGCGGUGAAAUGCUUAGAUAUCACGCAGAACCCCGAUUGCGAAGGCAGCCUGCCAAGCCAUGACUGACGCUGAUGCACGAAAGCGUGGGGAUCAAACAGGAUUAGAUACCCUGGUAGUCCACGCAGUAAACGAUGAUCACUAGCUGUUUGCGAUACAGUGUAAGCGGCACAGCGAAAGCGUUAAGUGAUCCACCU
Molecule: ribosomal RNA, 786 nt
Filed under: uncultured Bacteroidota bacterium
Lineage: Bacteria; Pseudomonadati; Bacteroidota
Description: bacterial SSU rRNA
Rfam family: Bacterial small subunit ribosomal RNA
Source: RNAcentral